UGAGAGGGGAUGAGACGUUUGCUGUC
This 26-nucleotide non-coding RNA is filed under the name Homo sapiens (human). Lineage: Eukaryota; Metazoa; Chordata; Mammalia; Primates; Hominidae. The record is from RNAcentral.